UACGUAGGUGGCGAGCGUUGUCCGGAUUUACUGGGUGUAAAGGGCGUGUAGGCGGGGAAACAAGUCAGAUGUGAAAUCCCGGGGCUUAACUCCGGAGCUGCAUCUGAAACUGUUUUUCUUGAGUGCUGGAGAGGAAAGUGGAAUUCCAAGUGUAGCGGUGAAAUGCGUAGAGAUUGGGAGGAACACCAGUGGCGAAGGCGGCUUUCUGGACAGUAACUGACGCUGAGGCGCGAAAGCGUGGGGAGCAAACAGG
Molecule: ribosomal RNA, 253 nt
Filed under: uncultured bacterium
Lineage: Bacteria
Description: partial 16S ribosomal RNA
Rfam family: Bacterial small subunit ribosomal RNA
Source: RNAcentral